Molecule: long non-coding RNA, 28380 nt
Filed under: Triticum aestivum (bread wheat)
Lineage: Eukaryota; Viridiplantae; Streptophyta; Magnoliopsida; Poales; Poaceae
Description: long non-coding RNA (TAES_LNC012424)
Source: RNAcentral
CUGUGCAUCCUGCGGUGGUCAACUCUCUUCCAAUCUUGUGGAGCCAAUCAUCUGCAACAAUCGGCUCGGUGCUACUAGAGAACACCGGCGGAUUCAACCUUAGGAAACGGGCUAGGUGAUCAAUAGGGGGUGGUGGUGGUGGGUUGUUGUUGUUGCCUUGGUUCUGAUUCUGGAUUAAUAGAUGCAUCAAGGUAUUCUGCUGUUGGAUCAACUGAGUGAGCUCCAGUGGGAAGGAAAAUCCAUUGUCACAUCUUGGAGGCAUCUGAUAGGUUUAGAGGAGUGAGAAAACAUAAUAGAAUUGGGGUCUAAGAGAGAUUCACUAACCAUAAUGCUCAUGAGACAAACACAAUAAAUUUCACUUCAAUCAAUAGCACACAAGUCACACAAAAGCGGUCUAACCUAUAACUACAAACUCGAUCGUUGCAACUACUUGGAGGGAAAAUACUACUAAUUACAAUGGUGGUCGUCUAGAAAUUUUCAUCAGAGGAAGACUCCAUGAUAUCUGCUCUAGCUUCAUCAACAUAGUCAUCAUCACUAUUAGGGUCAGAGUCGGUGUCGUCGAUGAUGAUGUAGUCUCCUGGGUGGUUGUUCUCCUUCUUUGGUACAGGGUCUCCCAUGAACACUCCUAGCUUCUUCUUCAGGUCUUCAUUCUUUUCCAGUAGUACAACAAUCUCUUCCUCGUAUCCAUUGCGUGUAGACUUGAUCUCCUCUUCUAGCUUGUUGUUUCUCCUCACCAAUUUCUUGAUCUUCUUCAUGUGGAUAAUUUUUUCAUUCUCCUAUCGAUGAAUAUGAUCUCCCAUCUCUUGAAUGUAAGCUACAAUUGAUCCAUCCCUCCUAGUGCGAAUCAUCUCCCAUUUGUCAUCUCGGCGGCCACAUAUCUCGUAAACGGUAUUCUCCAGCUCCUUGUGAAACACCUUACAUAUGCGUCCAAAGCUGAUAUGUGCGGCCAUGCUCUUUCCUAUACUCCAGCUUGGUGCAUCCAGGUAGAAAUCAAUAGGCUCCGUUGUUGGCGCAAAGGUCCUCCCAGGUAUCCAAACUUUAAUCUUCCAGCGCUCCUCUUUCGGUACAGAUGUACAGAAAGUCCUCGUGAAGCUUGGUAAACCGAUGUUCAAAUACUUAGUGACUUCCUUGAAGUGCUUUCUGAAAGGGUGUCGUUAUCCGGCUGAGUGAACUUGUUCCUGGGAUCCGCCAUCUAUAGAGUAGAAAGAGAGGAGAAUUAGAAAUGAGUAGAAAAGAGAAAUCAUGUGGCUCAUUCUAGUGGUCGCGUCCUAUAGUCAACGUGUGCUCUGAUACCAUCUUGUAGCGACCAGACCUCAAACGAUCAAGUCUCUGUGCAUCAGUGUCAUCCCUGGAUCGGUAAUGCUGACACACACAGUACUCGAGGAAUUAUAACAGAGUUUCAAUCACACACUUAUUAUAUCGAGUCCUCAUAAAGAGUAUGAUUACAUAAAUAAAUCAUGGCUGAGGGCCAUCUAAACUAGAUAACUGCAGAAGCUUCGAAGGUAAAUGAGUUCAUCAACUCCAACGGCAUAGCUGAGUGCAAAACAACGACCUAUCGCACCUUAUUCGUCAUUUGAGUAGUCUGCAACAUAAGACGUUGCAGCCCGAAACGGGUCAGUGCAUGGAAUAUGCUGGCAUAGUUACACUUUAAGCAAAGAUAAUGCAAGAACUAUAUUUACAUGCAAUAUUUGGCUAGUGGAGGCUGUAAGUUUCAUGAUUUUGCAUAAAGCUAGUUUUUCCCUACAACAAAGGAAUAAAUUUAUUUAACUACUCCCAUGUUGCCCAUUAUUUGAGAACGUAACCCCAACUCAAAUCCCAAUUAAAAGUAUCAUCAUUAACCCAACAUCAUAAUUACUUAGAGUAACGUGAUGAGAUCACAUUAAUAGAUUCAAGUACUAGAUACUCAAGAUGUCCAUAACCGAGGACACGGCUAACCAUGAUUAGUUUAUACACUCUGUAGAGGUUUGCACACUUUUCCCCACAAGACUCGACCACAUCCAUGAUUGGAUGAUCGAGACAUAGCCUUUUUGAAGCAUUAACUCUCUACUCCAGGUAGACAGUACCACCUACAACCCUCUACAUCUUCUAGUCUACCUCUUCAAGAGCUCAUGCAACUUACUCAACUAUGCCAGAGCCCAUAAUGGCUUGUGGCUGCACACAAAAGUUUCUACCAUGAAUAAUCUUAUGAUCCCUUUGAGCCUGGGUGGCAUUCCAUAGGAUAAUCACACGGGUACUCCGGGAUUUCCAAAAACAGACAACAUUGGGUUCCCCAGGUGCCUCAACCAAUCCACCCAGAUGUAUAUUGAAGUUGCCACCUUAAUGUUAUCCAUGAUUAAAAUAACUCUCAACUUCCAUGUGUGAAUCACGAUCCAAUCCCCAUCCACGAGCAUGGCUGAGCAAUAAUAAGUAUAAUGUAUAUUCCCGGGGUGAUCAAAAGGUAUUAGGUUCUUACCUCAAACACUACAACCAAAACCACAUGUUCUCAAUCCUACUAAUGCAAUUAUUUGAGGGGCAAAACUAAUGCAUAGUAAAAACUGGGUAUAAAAGAGUAUGAUCAAAGUGUAACUUGCCUUGCUGAUGAUCUACAAACUCUAGGGAUUCAUAGUAACAAGCUUCGCACUCCGGGUAAUCUAGCAUAGACAAACAAUAUCAUACAUAAGCAAUCACUCAAUCAAAACACGAGAAAAACCGAGAAAAGAUCCAAAUCGAACACGAAACUAGCAAACGGCUUAAACUAACAAGAGUAAAAACCUAACAGCAAUAUUGACAUGUGACUUAGAUCUUAGCAGUAGGUACAUGUGAUUAGCUAUGAUUUGCAAAAAGAUUCAACUCAAACAGAGCAACGAACCUCAAAAUAUGAACGAAACAAGAUCGUUUACUAAUCUGGACUACAGUAAAAUUUUACAGUACCAAAAUCAUGUUCGAGUUGGUUGACUGAAGAGAGGGGUUCGGGAUGAAUACUUUGGCGUUGGAUUCAUCUAAUUUGGAUAAACGAGUAAAAGUUAUACUAGUUUGAAAAUCAGGGGCUGAAUCGCGAUAAAAAUAAUCACAGAUAAGUCCCUGGCCGAAAAUAAAAUAAAAAGAAAAAGACUAACGAACGAACGUUCGCUGUCUGAACUAAUCCGGUGAAUAUCAUUCGUUCAAACGAACGAACGUACGAGCGUCCGCUAAAUAACUUAACCGAACUAAAGAAAAACCAAUCUAGAAAAGUAAACCGCAAAAACUAAAAAACCGAGGUUAACCGAAGAAAAACCGACCGGUUAACGCGGUGGGGUCAAUGGCGGUGGUGGUGGCGGCGUCCGCCAGCGGCGGGGCGGCGCGUGGCUGCAGGGUGGUGUGGCGGCGGCGGAGCAGCGGUGCAGGGCGGCGCCGUCGAGCGGGCGAGGCGCGGCGGUUGCAGCAGGUGGCAACGGCGGCUUGGGAGCUCCAGGGGGCGGCGGCGUCGGCUUUUAAAGGAGGAGGGGGCGGCGAUGGCUUGGGCGAGGGGUCGAGGAGGAGGAGUUCAGCUCUGACUCUGAGCUUCAGCGAUGUCGGCGUGGGCGGCGCGGGCCGGCCUGUCGGCUGGGCCUCGGCCCAGUCGAGCGGGAAACUUUUAUUUUUAAAUAAUAAUUUCGCCUGAAGAGAAAAUUCCUAAUAAAAUAUAAAAAAAUCUAAAAAUGCCAAAAACAAUUUUCGCCGUCUAAAUAAAAUAUUUAGAUCAAAGUGAACAUUUUUCUGGCCUAAGAAUGAAAUUUUAAAAAAUGCAUAUGUUUCUAAUUCAAAUAAAAUAGCAAAUAAAAACCAGAAAAAUCAUAAUUUGAUUUUAAAAUUCUUUCUCCAACAUUUCUCUUAAUUUGAUGAAGUCAUAUUAUCUUCUCUCAUUUAUUUUUAAUAUUGGAAAUAAUUGGAGAGAAAAUAAUAAAACCAAUUUGGUCCUUUUCUUCAAAUUUGAAAUAAAUUCAAAUAUGAUUUUUUUGUUAAACCUCCAACUCUCUCCUUGGGUCCUUGAGUUUCUUAAGAUUUCCAAGAUCACAACGAAAAUGCAAGAAUAAAUAUGAUAUGCAUAUGAUGAUCUAUGUAUAACAUCCAAAUUGAAAAUUAGGGAUGUUACAACAAAGGUGUUAGGUGGGACGGGGUCGUGUUUAGCGCCCAUGCGAGCAAGGAUGUCUGCGGCUUGAUUACUCUCUCGAGCCACGUGAUGAAACUCGAGCCCCUCAAAUCGAGCUGAUAUUUUGAGUACGGCGUUGCGGUAAGCUGCCAUCUUCGGAUCUUUCGCGUCGAAUUCUGCGUUUAUUUGGGAUAUUGCGAGGUUUGAAUCCCGCACACCUUGAGGUGAUGUAUGCCCAUGGAGACGGCCAUCCGGAGACCAUGCAAUAGGGCCUUGUAUUCGGCUGCAUUGUUGGAGUCUGUAUACAGAAUUUGGAGCACAUAACAGACUGUGUCUCCUGUGGGGGAUGUCAAGAUGACACCAGCCCCAAGUUCGGCUAGCAUUUUAGAGCCAUCGAUGUGCAUCACCCAGUUGGAAUAUGUGUUGUACUCUUUAGGGAGUUCAGCCUCUGUCCAUUCGGCGACGAAGUCAGCCAACACCUGAGAUUUAAUAGCUCGGCGUGGCUUGUAAGUUAUUUCAAAUGGUAAGAGCUCAAUAGCCCAUUUGGCAAUCCGGCCGGUGGAGUCCCGGUUGUUUAUAAUAUCAUUGAGUGGUACUUCAGAAGCCACCGUGAUCAAGCACUCUUGAAAGUAGUGCCGUAGCUUGCGGGAUGCUAUAAAGACCACAUAUGUUAUCUUUUGAUAAUGCAGGUAUCGGGAUUUACAUGGUGUAAGGACCGUCAAUACGUAAUAUACUGGUUUUUGGAGUGGGAAUUUAUGUCCCUCUUCAUCUCGUUCGACGAUGAGCACCACACUCACCACCUGGUGAGUUGCAGAUAUGUAGAGCAACAUCGCUUCACCGACGUUUGGUGCGGCCAAGAUUGGAUUGCUUGCUAAUAAAGUUUUUAUUUCUUCCAGUCCAGCUGUGGCAGCGUCCGUCCACACGAAGUGGUCGGUGCGGCGGAGCAGGUGAUACAAUGGCAAUGCCUUUUCUCCUAAUCUGGAGAUAAAACGGCUCAAAGUUGCCACGCACCCAGCUAGUUUUUGGACCUGCUUGAGGUCUGUUGGUGUUGCCAACUGUGACAGGGCUCAGAUUUUGGCUAGGUUUGCUUCAAUUCCUCUAUUGGAGACAAUGAACCAAGCAGUUUUCUGGCCGGAACACCAAAAAACGCAUUUUUCGGAUUGAGCCGUAUGUCAUAUGCUUGGAGGUUGUCGAAUGUAAGGCGUAAGUCAUCCACCAAUGAUUCGACAUGCGUGGUUUUGAUGACUACGUCGUCUACAUAUGCCUCCAUAGUCUUGCCGAUUUGCUUUUCCAGGCAUGUUUGAAUCAUGCGUUGGUAGGUUGCGUCGGUGUUCUUGAGCCUGAAAGGCAUAGUGUUGAAGCAGAAGGGCCCAUACGGGGUGAUGAAUGUCGUUACGGCCUGGUCGGAUUCUUUCAUCUUAAUUUGAUGGUAUCCGGAGUAUGCGUCGAGAAAACACAGUGAAUCAUGUCCCACGGUUGCGUCAAUAAUCUGGUCAAUGCGAGGCAGUGGGAAGGGUCCUUAGGGCAGGCCUUAUUAAGGUCUUUGAAAUCGACACACAUGCGCCAGGAUUUAUCCUUCUUCGGUACCAUGACCAGGUUUGCUAGCCAGUCCGGAUGUCUGAUCUCUCUGAUAAACCCGACUUCGAGUAGCUUGGCUAGCUCCUCCCCCAUAGCCUGUUGUUUGGGCUCGGAAAAUCGGCGCAGCGUUUGCUUGACUGGUUUGUAUCCCUUCAGUAUAUUAAGACUAUGUUCGGCCAGUCUGCCUGGGAUACCUGGCAUAUCCAAAGGGUGCCAAGCAAAGAUGUCCCAAUUCUCACGCAAGAAUGCGCAUAAUGCAGCGUCGACCAUCGGAUCCAGCUAUGCCCUGAUGGAAGUUGUCUUCUUGGGGUCCGUCGGGUGGACUUGAAAUUUGACUAUUUUGUCUGCUGGUUUGAAGGAAGUGGAUUUGGGUCUCUUAUCGAGGAUUACGUCGUACCUAUCCACUAUGGAACGUAGGGUGGUUAACUCUUCGACCGCCAGGGCCUCCGAUAGUGCCUCGAGGGCCAGAGAGGCAGUUUCGUUUUCGGCGUGGAGUGCUAUGUCCGGAUCACUAGCGAUAGUGAUAACUCCGUUGGGCCCGGGCAUUUUGAGCUUCAUAUACCCGUAAUGGGGUACGGCUUGGAAGCGUAUGAAUGUGUCUCGCCCCAGCAGGGUGUGAUACUCGUUGUAGAAAGGUGCCACAUGGAAGAGCAGCUCUUCGGACCUAUAGUUCGCCGACGUGCCAAAUACCACGUCGAGUUUGAUUUUCCCCGAGCAUCUUGCUUCCCGACUGGGAUAAUGCCUCGAAAGGUUGUGUUACUUUGCUCAAUGCGACUCAUGUCCAUUUGCAUUUUAUUGAGCGUGUCUUCAUAAAUAAGGUCCAGUCCGCUGCCACCAUCCAUUAGCACUUUAGUGAGCCGAAAGUCAUCCACAAUUGGGUUUAGGACCAAAGCGGCUGGUGCUUGGACUGAGUGGGAUCUUGGUUCAUCAUCGGCAUUGAAAGUGAUCGCCGAGUCGUUCCAAGGACUUAUUGGUGCCACUUGGCAGACUUCGGCGAGGUUGCGAAGCACCCUUUUGCGCCGAUUAUUUGAUGAAAAGGUCUCGAAGCCGUGAAUACUUUGAGAUCGUUAUCCUUCGAAUAGUAGUUCUCUGGGGUAGUGUUGGCGAGGAUACCCUGGCCGCUCUUGGGCACUUGCCGGAGUAUCCAACAUGCAUGGAGGCUAUGCAUUGGUUUGGUAUUCGGCGUCAUGUGAAUUUGACAGGGCCCGUCGAGCCAUUCCUCGAGGACAGUUCUAUGUACCGUAAAGGGCUUGAUUUUCUUGUCCAUUGGAUGAUGAUUAGGUGCCCCGUGAUGGUGCAUCCUUUUUGCCCGUCCAGGAGAUGGCCUAAAGGAAUGCGGUUCCCAGCGGGCUGUCUGGGUUUUUUAGGCGCUUUCCAUUGCGCAGUACUUCUGUACUAUGUGUGCCAAAUCUAUAAAGUGUAGUAUGCGAUGGUGGCUGAGGGCAUUAAGGAUUCCCUCAUCUGUAUAGUUGUUACAAAAUACUGAGAUCGCGUCGUCAUAGCAGCAAUCUUUGAUCUUGUUUUUAACAAGGAGGAAUCUGGCCCAGAAGUGAUAGACUAUUUCCCGAGGGUGCUGGCGCACGUACAUUAGGUUGCAUAUAUCCGGAGGACCGGAAUUGCUUGGGGAAUAUUGCUUGUGGUGGGUGGGAGGGGUUAAAUCCGAACCCUAACCCACCAUGGAGUACGGAGUUUGAAGAAUUUCUGAGGCCACCAUCCCGGGCUCCUGAGUGUCCGGUGAGUUCUCAGGCUCAACGCCCGAUUCUAUGUUCGGAGGACAGGGAGUGUCCUCCAAAAGAUGGGUGUCCGGCUCUCUAAGCUCGAAAAUCUGAGCAUACUUUGUUCUCAACGUACGAGAAGAGUUAUUGUCAGCUUGUUCCUCCACAACCGCCACCUGAUGGGUGAUCGGUGGAGAUUUGAUUUCUCUCUGAUCGGGUUUAAGGCCAAUCCGAUCAUAGUCAGUUGCGACCCCCAGGGCGGCGAUGCGAUUUAGCAGUUUGUUUAAGGAUGAUACAUCUACCGGAUCCAUCUUGUCGGAGUAUUCGGGGUCGACGCGGAGAUGAUUUUUGGUGACAGGGUGGGCUACCUUUGGCUUAACGGCCGAACGAGCGCCCAUGGUGAAGCUGCCAAGCUGGAGGGUUUUCCCUGAAGCUAGGGCUCCUCCGGAAGUGAUACUGUCCUUGAUGACAAGGCGAGCCAUCAACCCUUCUGUCGAUGGCACAGAGGAACUCUCAACGAAAGCACCAAUGUCGGUAUCAAAACUGGCAGAUCUCGGGUAGGGGGUCCCGAACUGUGCGUCUAAGGAUCAAAAGUAAUAGGGGGCGGGGCACACAAUAUUUACCCAGGUUCGGGCCCUCUUAAUGGAGGUAAUACCCUACUUCCUGAUUGAUUGACUUUGAUGAGUAUAGGGGUUAGAAGAGUUGAUCUACCUCGAGAUCGUAGUGGCUAAACCCUAGAUGUCUAGCCUGUAUGAUUGUGAUUACCCCUACGGACUAAACCCUCUAGUUUAUAUAGGCACCGGAGGGUUGUACAAAGUCGGUUUACCGAGGAAGGAAACUACACAUCCGGACGCCAAGCUUGCCAUCCACGCAAAGGAGAGUCCCAUCCGGACACGGGAGAAGGCCUUCUGUCUUUUAUUUUCACGGGCCAUCAGUCCGGCUCAUGUCACAUAGGCCGGCUCCCCGAGGACCCCAUAAUCCAGGACUCUCUCAUCCACCUCGUGGCAGCAGCUUCUGGCGGCCGGGGCAUCGGUCAGUGCAGCGUCAUGAGCCGUUGUGGCUGUCGUGGCCUGUUCCUUGGCAUCCACGGCGGCAGUCUCGGCCUGGCUCCAAGCCGUCCUGACGUACGAGUCAGCUCGGAGCCACCGGGAGAUCAGCUCCAGGCGCCCUGUCGCCGCACGCCCGUCAGCACCCUGAAGAUCAUCUCGGAGUCGGUCCAGCAUGGCGUAGGCUUCCUCCAAAGCAUCAGGCCUGGCGGAGGAGCACUGGUCCGCCGGUGCAAGAGCCUGAGGAGGAGGUGGCGCUGGCACCUGGACUGGCGCUAUCGCGACGUCAGUUGGGGCAGGGGGUUCCGGGGGUUCGCGCCCUCUGCAGGCACGUCAAGAGCCGACGCCCUCGAAGUCCGCUGCGCCUUGCGAGCGGCGUCCUCUUUCUUCUUCUUCACCUCAGGGGCCAGCCUGGUCGUCAGGAGAACGACAUCAUGAGCAUGGUGUCACGACAGAAGGUAAGAAUGAAGUAAGGUGCUUACUGAUACAUCUCCAACGUAUCUAUAAUUUAUGAAGCAUUCAUGCUAUUUUAUUAUCUGUUUUGAAUGAUUACGGGCUUUAUUAUACAUUUUUAUAUUACUUUUGGGACUAACCUAUUAACCGUAGGCCCAGCCCAUAUUGUUGUUUUAUUGCCUGUUUCAGUAUUUUGAAGAAAAGGAAUAUCAAACGGAGUCCAAACGGAAUGACUCCUUCGGCAGCGUUAUUUUUGGGAAGAAUAUCACCCAGGAGACUUGGAUUUCACAUCAGAAGAGCCUCGAGGAGGCCACAAGAUAGGAGCCCCCCCUACUGGGUGCGCCCCCCUGUCUCGUGGGCCCCUCGAGCACCUCCCGACCGACUUCUUUCGCCUAUAUAAGCCUACGUACCCUAAAAACAUGGAAUAUCAAGAUAGAUCGGGAGUUCCACCGCCGCAAGCCUUUGUAGCCACCAAAAACCUCUCAGGAGCCCUUCCCGGCACCUUGCCGGCGGGGGGGGGGGAUCCUUCACCGGUGGCCAUCUUCAUCAUCCUGGCGCUAUCCAUGACGAGGAGGGAGUAGUUCAUCCUCGAGGCUGAGGGUAUGUACCAGUAGCUAUGUGUUUGAUCUCUCUCUCUCUCGUGUUCUCUCUCAUGAUCCCUCUAUGGCACGAUCUUGAUGUAUCCCGAGCUUUGCUAUUGUAGUUGGGUCUUAUGAUGUUUCUCCCCCUCUACUCUCUUGUGAUGAAUUGAGUUUUCCCUUUGAAGUUAUCAUAUCGGAUUGAGUCUUUUAUGAGAACACUUGAUGUAUGUCUUGCCGUGCUUAUCUGUGGUGACAAUGGGAUAUCAUGUGCCACUUGAUGUAUGUUUUGGUGACCAACUUGCGGGUUCCGCCCAUGAACCUAUGCAUAGGGGUUGGCACACGUUCUUGACUCUCCGGUAAAAACUUUGGGGCACUCUUUGAAGUACUUUGUGUUGGUUGAAUAGAUGAAUAUGAGAUUGUGUGAUGCAUAUCGUAUAAUCAUGCCCACGGAUACUUGAGGUGACAAUGGAGUAUCUGGGUGACGUUAGGGUUUUGGUUGAUUUGUGUCUUAAGGUGUUAUUCUAGUAUGAACUCUUGAAUAGAUUGAUCCGAAAGAAUAAUUUUGAGGUCGUUUCGUACCCUACCAUAAUCUCUCCGUUUGUUCUCCGCUAUUAGUGGCUUUGGAGUGACUCUUUGUUGCAUGUUGAGGGAUUGUUAUAUGAUCUAUCUAUGUUAUUAUUGUUGAGAGAACUUGCACUAGUGAAAGUAUGAACCCUAGGCCUUGUUUCCUAGCAUUGCAAUACCGUUUACGCUCACUUUUAUCGCUUGUUACCUUGCUGUUUUUAUAAUUUCAGAUUACAAAUACCUUUAUCUACCAUCCAUAUUGCACUUGUAUCACCAUCUCUUCGCCGAACUAGUGCACCUAUACAAUUUACCAUUGUAUUGGGUGUGUUGGGGACACAAGAGACUCUUUGUUAUUUGGUUGCAGGGUUGUUUGAGAUAGACCAUCUUCAUCCUACGCCUCCUACGGAUUGAUAAACCUUAGGUAAUCCACUUGAGGGAAAUUUGCUACUGUCCUACAAACCUGUGCACUUGCAAGCCCAACAGCGUCUACAAGAAGAAGGUUGUGUAGUAGACAUCAAGCUCUUUUCUGGCGCCGUGGCCGGGGAGGCUAGGUAAACGGCACUCACACCCCGUCCACUAAGCUCUUUUUUGGUGAGGUGAGUGCUUGAAGGUAUAUCUUUAGAUCUUGCAAUCGAAUCUUUUUGUUUCUUGUUUUAUCACUAGUUUAGUUUAUAAAGGAAAAUUAAAAAAAAUGGAAUUGAGUUUGUCUCAUACGCUUCAUCUUUUUAAUAUCUUUCGUGAGAAUGAUGGCAAGGAAAAUUGUGCUCAAGUGCUAGAAGAAGAAAUCUAUAAAAUGUUUUGCACUAAAUCUUUGAAUGAUGAGCAUGAUUGCAAUGUUGUUAGUAUGAAUUCCUUGAAUAUCCAUGAUGCUAAUGAUAUGCAAAGCCACAAGCUUGGGGAUGCUAUGUUUGAUGGAUAUGAUAUUUUUUGUCCCCCAAGUUUUGAUGAGAAUAUUUAUUAUGAUGAAAGCAUGCCUCCUAUUUAUGCUGAUUAUAUUGAUGAAAGUGGGUUUGGAAGAGUGUCAACUUUAGGUAGUAUUGAUCCCACUAUUUUGGAGGAUGUUUAAUCUUAUUGUGAUGAAUAUGAAAGUGGAUUUGGAAGAGUGUCAACUUUAUUUAGUGAUGAUUCCACUAUUUCGAAAGAGGUUCCAAUUGAUUAUGAGAACAAAGUUGAUAUCUAUGAUGAUUAUUGUGAUGACUUGUAUGCUAUAAAGAAUAAAAAUAACCAUGAAACUUUUCAUCAUGAUUUUAGUUUUCAAUUGGAUUAUGCCUAACAUGAUAGUUAUUUUGUUGAGUUUGCUCCCACUAUUAUUCAUGAGAAGAAAUUUUCUUAUGUGGAGAGUAGUAAAUUUUCUAUGCUUGUAUAUCAUGAAAAGAAUGCUUUAGGUGCUGGUUAUAUUGUCGAAUUCAUUCAUGAUGCUACUGAAAAUUAUUAUGAGAGAGGAACAUAUGCUUGUAGGUAUUGCAAUAAUAUCAAGUUUCCUCUCUAUGUGUUGAAAAUUUUGAAGUUAUGCUUGUUUUAUAUUCCUAUGCUAGUUGAUUAUUGUUCCCAUAAGUUGUUUGCUCACAAAAUCCAUUUGCAUAGGAAGUGGUUUAGACUUAAAUGUGCUAGUCAUAUUCUUCAUGAUGCUCUCUUUAUGUUUCAAUUCUUAUGUUUUAUGUGAGCAUCAUUGCAUCAUGCCUAGCUAAAAAGGCAUUAAAGACAAGCGCUUGUUGGGAGACAACCCAAUAUUUAUCCUUACUGUUUUCGUGUGUUCACAUGAUUAUGCUACUGUAGUAAUCAUGUUUUAUAGCUUUUGUUUCAAUAAAGUGCCACGUAGAGCCUUUGGGAAGACUUGGGUGAAGUCUAUAUGAUCUUGCUGUAAAAAACAGAAACUUUGCGCUCACGAGUUUAGCUUCCAUUUUUUACAGAAGAGUGAUUUUAGGUUGAUUCUUUUUUCAUAUGAUUAAUAGACAAAUUCCUCAGGUCCACCAAUUUAUUUCAUAAUUUUUGGGGUUCCAGAAGUAUACGUUUGAUACAGAUUACUACAGAGUGUUCUGUUUUUGACAGAUUCUGUUUUCAUUGUGUUGUUUGCUUAUUUUGAUGAAUCUAUGGCUAGUAUGUAAGGGUAUGAACCAUAGAGAAGUUAGAAUACAGUAGAUAUUACACCAAUAUGAAUUUAGAAUGAGUUCAUUACAGUACCUAAGUGGUGAUUUUUUUAUACUAGCGGAGCUUACGAGUUUUGUUUUGAGUUUUGUGUGGUUGAAGUUUUCAAGUUUUGGGUAAGGAUUCGAUGGACUAUGGAAUAAGGAGUGGAAAGAUACUAAUAUUGGGGAUGCCCAAGGCACCCCAAGGUAAUAUCAAAGGACAACCAAGAGCCUAAGCUUGGGGAUGCCCCGGAAGGCAUCCCCUCUUUCGUCUUCGUUCAUCGGUAACUUUACUUGGAGCUAUAUUUUUAUUCGCCACAUGAUAUGUGUUUCGCUUUGAGUGUCAUUUUAUUUUGUUAGUAUUUGCUUGCUGUUAUUUAGAAUAAUGUUUUGCAUCUUUAUUUUGAAUAAAUAUGUCAAGGAUAGCCUUUACCAUGCUUAUUUUGCUAGUAUGCAUGUUGCUAUUUGAAAACAGAAAGUUUACCGCUGUUGCAAAAAUUCCCUAGGAAAGUCAGAGCAUGAUAUAAUGUUGAAUCUUUUUGCAUAAUGAGAUCUGAUAAAUAUUUUACAGCUUAGUAUUUUUCUUAUAAUUUUUGGAGUUAGGGAAGUAUGAUGAAUCUUGCAUUCUUACAGACUAUACUGUUUUGACAGAUUGCUGUUAUGUUUGCAUUGUUUGCAUAUGUUUGCUUGUUUAAUGAUUCUAUUUGAGGAUAGGAGUAUUAAAUAUGCAGAGACAUUUAGUAUUCAAUGUUGAAUAAUAAUCUUAGUGAUUUGUUACAGUAGAUAAUGAUAUGGUUUUGCAUUGGUUUAUACUAACCUAUCUCAUGAGUUCUUGUUGAGUUUGGUGUGGAUGAAGCUUUUGAUAAAAAGAGAAACCAUGAUAUGAAAGGAAUUAAGGAGACAUAAAAGCUCAAGCUUGGGGAUGCCCAAGGCACCCAAAGAUAAUAUUUCAAUAAGUCUCAAGCAUCUAAGCUUGGGGAUGCCCCGGUAGGCAUCCCACCUUUCUUCUUCAACAACUAUCGGUUAGUAUCAGUUGAGCCUAAGUUUUUGCUUCUUCACAUGAGUUGUGCUAUCCUUGCAAUGCCAUUUUAUUUUGUUUUGUUUGCUAUUUGAAUAAGAUACCAAGAUCCGAAAUUCUUAAAUGAGAGAGAGUCUUCGCAUAGUUGCAUAAUUAUUUAGCUACUCAUUAGUCUUCACUUAUAUCUUUCUGGAGUAGUUUUUCAUUUACUCUUGUGCUUCACUUAUAUCCUAUGAGUAAAUGGUUGAAUGAAUUGAAUGUCAUAAAUCUGAAAUUAUUUAUGUUUCAUUUGCUUAUCCCAUGGGGAGUAGUGGCUUUACAUAUAAGAAGUAGAGGUUGUAAAUUUAUUGAUGGUUAGCAAGCAUUGUAUUGGUCAUUUGAACAAUUCAUGAAAGAAUAUUGAAGGAAGAGGGAUUUCACAUAUAAAUAUACUAUCCUAGACAUCUUUUACAAUUGUGAGCACUCAUUAAGUAUGACAUGCUAAAGAGUUGAUGUUGGACAAGGAAGACAACGUAAUGGGUUAUGUUUUCUCGCAUCUUAGUUAAAGUAUAUUGUCAUGGAUCAUUCAAACAUGUUGAGCUUGCCUUUCCCCCUCAUGCUAGCCAAAAAUUCCUAGCACCAAGUAGAGAUACUACUUGUGCUUCCAAAUAUCCUUAAACCCAGUUUUUGCCAUGAGAGUCCACCAUACCUACCUAUGGAUUGAGUAAGAUCCUUCAAGUAAGUUGUCAUCGGUGCAAGCAAUAAAAAUUGCUCUCUAAUUAUGCAUGACUUAUUAGUGUGGAGAAAAUAAGCUUUGUACGAACUUGUUAUGGAAGCAAUAAAAGCGACGGACUGCAUAAUAAAGGUCCAUAUACAAGGGGCAAUAUAAAGUGACGUUCUUUCGCAUUAAGAUUUUGUGUAUCCAACCCUAAAAGCGCAUGACAACCUUUGCUUCCCUCUGCGAAGGGCCUAUCUUUUACUUUAUGCAAGAGUCAAGGUGAUCUUCACCUUUCCCUUUUUCAUUUUAUCCUUUGGCAAGCACUUUGUGGUGGGGUGAUCCUGAUAUAUAUAUCCAAUUGGAUGUACGUUAGCAUGAAUUAUUAUUGUUGACAUCACCCAAAGAUGAAUACGUUUGGAGGCAACAUUAUAAGCCCCAAUCUUUCUCUGUGUCUGAUUAAAACUUCAUAACCACAAGUAUUGCGUGAGUGUUAGCAAUUACAGAAGACUAUAUGAUAGUUGAGUAUGUGAAGUUUGCUAAAUCAAAGCUCUGACAUAGACUCUUCCUGAAAGUAAGAUGAAUUGCAAUUGUUUGAUGACUAAGAAUGAAGUUUGCUAGUUUUCAAGAAAGUUUAUGGUCUAUGCUUUAACACGUGAAUUGCUUGUUACUUGAUUAUGAAUAGUUUUAUGAGAUGAACUACUGUUUAUGACAUAUAUUGAUGCUAGUAAAGGUGAUUGAAAUUAUCAUUGAUCAAACUUGUGCACCUCUAGCAUUAACACUUCAUAAAUUCUUUCUUUUAUCAUUUACAUACUCGAGGACGAGUAGGAAUUACUUACUCAUCUUCGGUGAUGUAUGCUCUUUUCUUGCCCAGGACGGUGGCGCCCCCAAGCUUCUACAGCAAGGGCCUUGCCACAGUCGGAGGCUCGGUUGGGCGCGCAACGGGAGACUCUGGAGCGGCAGUAGCAGGCGACAAGGCGAGGGCGUUGCCCUAAGGUGGUGCCGGUGUCGUUCCUCCCUUCAGGCUCCCGCGGAUCAGCCUUCAUAGCGGGGUCCCCUCAGACCUUAUAACGACCCCAGCGGGACGCGGGGACCCCCCGACCAAGCCUUCCCCGGUGUCGUUGUCGUCAGAAAGACCCCCAUCUCUUCAUGGGUCGCCUCCGAGUCCUCCUCCUCCUCCUCACCCUCGAUGGAGCCCUUGUUGGAGGACACCUCCACUGGGGAGUCGGGAUGCCCGGAUGGCAUGAGCCCUCGCUCGUUGAAGAUUGGCAUGGAGGCGGCCAGCGCCGCCCCAUCGUCGCGGCGAUACAACGGAAGGUGGGCCACUGGAAGGCAGCCUGGAUCCUUCUCGAGCAAGACUUGCACAGCCUUUGCCCAGAUCCUCAGCCGUUAGGUUCCCUCGGCGCAGUUGGAGGUCAUCUUCUGUGCCCUUGAGGUCCCACAUGGGGCGCGAGUGAGCUUGGAGGGGGGCCAGGCGCCGCGUCAGGAACUCGCGGUCAAUCAUGGCCCCUGUAAGCGCCACGGAGCCCAUAUCAGCCUGCAUCUUCUUCAAGACCGGCGCCUCCUAGGGAUUGGUGAGCUUCUCGUGAGACCAUCGAGCCAACUUCUUCGGCAACCCUGUCGGCAGCUCCAGUCGAGCAUGAUGGCUCCGGGCGUCCAGGUAUAUCCACCUGCGCUGGAAGUUGUCCACCUUCUCCCCAACCUUUAUGAGCAUGUUAUUAUCAUGGAGCAUGACGAAGGAGACGCAUCCGGAGCGCUGGUUUGAGCCAUGCAUCUGGAUGGAGAAGAAAUGGCGGAACAAUGCAACGGGGUGCCUCACCCCCACGAAGGCCUCGCGGUAGAAGGCAAAGAUCGACAGGAGGAGGACGGAGUUAGGUUGGAGAUGAAGCGUGUGGAUCUGGUAGUGGUUAAGGAUGGCGAAGAAUAACUUGGAAAAAGGCGGGACGGGCCCCGCAAAGAGGUUGUGGAGGAAGAAAGGGAAGAAUGCACCCACCAAGGCUCCCUGCUCAGCAGACUCGACCCAAAGCUCGGUUGCUCCCCCUUGUUUUCAUUGCCCGCUGUCAGCAGGAGCACGGCAGCGAGGUGCUCGACUUCGGUGAUGGAUGACGGGCUGAGGGCCGCUGCGACAGCAGGAGCGACAGGUGCGGUAGUGUCGGCAAGCUUCGCCUUCUUCCCCGUCAUUGGCGAGGAGCUUGGGAGCGAGGAAUUGGUGGAUCUAGAGGCGCCCUCGGCAGGAGAUGGAUGAGAUCUAGAGCAAGACGAAGGGAAGGCAAUGAAAGCUCGGCUGUGGGAGUUGGCCUUUUUGUCAGGCCGCGCUAGUGGUUGAGGCAUCAUGGGGAAGCGGAGACGCCCACGUCCCAUCAAGCGCCACACGUCGGCUCGGUCCGCAGGCGAUUGGGGCCCGCGACGUUCCACACUUGCCCUUUGGCUUCGCUUCGAAGCCAAGUGCGAGCAUGCCUUGGGCCCUAGGGCUUCUGUCGCCGUUUUGGGAACCAAGGUACCCAGACUUGCCUGCCUACGGCCCAUGGUGUGGCUCCAUCGACGGCUUGGUACGGCCCAUCUUUGACCAUGACAAGACAAGACUCCCGCAAAGGGCCAAGCCUCGUGAGGUGGGCGACAUCAAGACCCCAUGAGGCAGCGGCCUCCUCAGGUGGCCUCCUGACGGGGCGGAGAUUUCUAUGCAAUACCCAGCCUCACGAGGCUGAAUGACAUCAGCCAUGAUGACCAAGGCCAGGCGCGCGCCAGCGGACGUAGAGUGGCAGGUUUCCUCUUUGGUGCAAAGGAGGCAAGCACAUGUGCGGAGUCCCAAGGAAUCAACCAAAGGUUGCUAUUUGCCUACAACGAGAACAGGACCGCCAGAACGGCAGGAUGGAUAUCACCGCCGAGCCCACUACGACACCAUGAUCAGAAGCUUUGCAGGCGAAGAUCACCUUUUGUCAGGAUCAGAUGUACUUCUUGUCCCCUUUCAAAUUUGGCCGUUGUGGGAUCCCUUCCUACCUAAGUUUUGUAGGAAGAGGACCAAGGCCACUAGAAAUAUAGCCUACCCACCACCGUAGAAUGCAUCGGGUGAUCAGCUCACCAAAUCCCCAAGAGCUCAUCACAAGAACAAGCCUCCCUAGGCUGUUCUUCCACUUGUACUAGUUCAUCCUCAGCCCCCCGUGAGGCUAAUCCACCACAAAGCAGGAGUAUGGUAUUACACCGCAAGGUGGCCCGAACCUGGGUAAACUACCAGGUAUUUCUCCUUGUUCAUCGAGCUAGGUCGUGAGAGCAGCAGAUCGAUCGGCUUGAGAGGUUGAGUUCUUCACACACGCCCCUAAGUUCGAACCUUUCUUGGGUCUGCGGAGCCCGGAAUCCGCCAGCUGCCGUGCACAGGCCUCCUCCCGGGAGCGGCGGAGCGCAAACCAGACGACCGUCUCCUCCUCGGGGCCGCGUGGAUGAGCUUCGGGUCAAUGGAUCUGGAGGUGAAGGACCUCGGAUGCGCUGCCCGCCAUGCCAGAGACAGGGAGAGACCGCCGGACGGGAGCUUGGGUGGCAGAGGGGAGUGGAGUGAAGUGGCUAGAGUUUGGUCCGAUGAGCGAAUGAGGAGGAAUAUAUGUGGGGUCGACUAGGCUAGCGUUGGUUGGGUCUGACGUGGCGGACGCGCCUGGGCUCCCCCUUAUCCACCCCAUAUUUGGGAUGGAUAUGAGAUGUGAUGGUCAACCCGGGCGUUUGAGGCCCGUUUGAGGCAUCCGUUUGGGUUGAUUUUCGUGAUCGAUUAGUGAGCGGGCGGGCUGCCCGAGUUUUGAGGUGGGUUUGGGGCGCUCGACUAUAGAUGCUCUUACAACCAAUAUGUGAGUAAAUUAGUUGUAACAACAUCUUAUAUUAUUGAGUACUCCCUCCAUUCCUAAAUAUAAGUUAGGGUUUGUGUCUUAUUGAACUACCAUUUUCUUAACACUAACAAAAAGACUAUCACAAUUACUUAAAAUUCAAUUACCCUAUCAAUGAUGGAACACCCCUACCCACCCCUAAUGAUUAGCAUAUUACUGAAGUGCCGAUAAGUUUUUUGAGAGCUUCUUUAUGAUUCGCCUGUUGCUUUUUCUUGGGGUUUAUAAUCCCACAUCUCCUUUAAUGGUGCAUCAUAUUUUAGAAAUUGCUACACACAUGAAAGCAUACAAAAGUGAUUUGCAAUUAUGUGAUGUUGUUGUUGCCAUGAAAAGCAAAUAUUUGAAAUAUUGGAAAGAAAUUCCAAUGUUGUAUGCAUUUGUAUUUAUUUUGAUCAUAUGGCUGAACUUGCAGGGUUUGGUGAUUAGAAGUAUGUCAGUGUUCAACUGCAAAGGCAUUCACUAGCACCAAUGGCUAGAAAGAAGAAAAGAGCAUGGGAAAGAUACUUGUCCUCCUCCUCUUCCUUGAGCUCAUCAACACCAACAAAAAGCAGGGCACAUGAUGAUUGUCACGGAGCCGAGUAUUGGUAACGCACCUCAAGAGUGAUAAAAUCAGCUAGCGGAACAGAAUGAUGACGACUUCAACAUAGGGCAGUGGUGGUAUGACCACAAACUUGCAUAUUAUGCUUUCCAUAAUUCACACCAAAUGUGUUAACAGUACCCCGCUCAGGGUAUCGUCAGAGUUUACUUUUAAUUCAGUUGGAAGAAUACUGAACGAGAAAAGAAACAACCCCACAAGUGAUAGGGCGAAGAUACUAAUGAUCAUGGAAGAUUGGGAACUAGCCAGACAGAGAGCCUAACACACUAAGGAUAACACAUAUUUGUCAUUCAUGUUUGACAAUCUUUAAUUAGACGAUGAAUAACCAGAAAAAUAGUUGUAAUAUGUAAUUUUGAGCAACCUUUGCAAUACUCUUUUUCCUUACCAAGGUUUUUCUCCACGGGGAUAUUUAUCUGGAAGGUUUUAAUGAGGUAGCUACUAAUAAAGUUCAAUAUUUAUCCAUAUGACACCUUGCCUCUUUUUGAGUUGAGCUUGUAACUAGUUUUUUCUAUUUCUCUGUAGUUUUCUUGAUUUUUAGAUUUCCUAUUUUUAUUACUCAUUUUUUUAUAUUUUUCCGAAUUAAAAAAAGGCCCACAAGGCCGAACAACUCAUAAGACCGAAACGGCCCGCUAGGCCAAAAAGAAAAAAACUAUAGUUGUGUCGUGCUGUGCAGGCGGCCCUAUAUCUCGCCUUCAGCGAGAGGAUAGGAACCCGCUGAAGGGGCGACCGAGAUGGGCCAGUCCAGGAGCGCGUGAGGCCACAACCUCUUUUUUGUGUUCUUUUAGGUUUUUUGUUUCUAUCUUGCUUUAUUUUUUAAUUUUAUUUUUAUUUUUCUAAGUAUAUAUACUACAAAAACACUAUAAAAAUAUUUGAAGAAUGUUGACCAAGCAUUUGAAAAGUGUUAAAUGUAUAUAGAAAAAGUGUUUAUAACAUAUACGAAGAAGUAUAAAAAACUGAUCACGUAUUUAGAAAAUGUUAAUCAAGCAUUUGAAUUUUUUUGAAAAAGUAUUUGAAAAAUGUUGGUCAAGCUUUUGGAAAAUGUUAACUAUGUAUAGAAAAAUGUUGUCCAUGUACUAAAAAAUUGAUGAUUUUUUAUCAUCGAGAUAAAAAUGUUAAUCAAGAAUUUGCAAAAUGUUGAUUAAGUAUUGAAAAAUGGUGAUUAAGCAUAUAAAAAAUGUUAACUGUGUUAGUAAAAAUGUUGAUCAUGUAUUAAAAAAAUGCUGAUUUUUUUGGUCAUGUAUAUAAAAAUGUUAAUCACAUUUGAAAAAAUGUUGUACAAGUAUUUGUAAAACGUUGUUCAAGCAUUUGACAAAAUUUUAAAUGUGUAUAGAUAAAAUGUUUAUCAUGUAUUAAAUAAUAAUAUUUUUUGUUAAUGUAUUUAAAAAAUGUGAAUCAAGCAUUUGAAAAAAUGUUGACCAAGUAAUUAAAAAAUGUUGAUCAUGCAUUUGGAAAAUGUCAAAUGUGUAUAGAAAAAAUGUUGACCAUGUGUUCUUUUUUUUAAGAUGUAAAUAUUAAUCAAGCAUUUUUAAAGUGUUAAAAAUGUGUAUAAAAAGUUGUCCAUGGAUAAAAAAAAUUGUAUUGGAAAAAUGUAAACGCAUAUUAGAAAAUUGUUGUUGAUAUAUACAAACAAAUGNNNNNNNNNNNNNNNNNNNNNNNNNNNNNNNNNNNNNNNNNNNNNNNNNNNNNNNNNNNNNNNNNNNNNNNNNNNNNNNNNNNNNNNNNNNNNNNNNNNNNNNNNNNNNNNNNNNNNNNNNNNNNNNNNNNNNNNNNNNNNNNNNNNNNNNNNNNNNNNNNNNNNNNNNNNNNNNNNNNNNNNNNNNNNNNNNNNNNNNNNNNNNNNNNNNNNNNNNNNNNNNNNNNNNNNNNNNNNNNNNNNNNNNNNNNNNNNNNNNNNNNNNNNNNNNNNNNNNNNNNNNNNNNNNNNNNNNNNNNNNNNNNNNNNNNNNNNNNNNNNNNNNNNNNNNNNNNNNNNNNNNNNNNNNUUUUCUUCUUCUUAACUGUGCGGGAAAUAGGCCGGCCCGACUACUGUAUCCGCUUCAACGAAGCACCUACAGUCUCACUAAAGGCAAGAUACAGAGCAUAACUGGUUUGCUGCCAAAUAUUGGCUACUACUUGGUUGGUCUUGUCUAUCUCACAUAAAGUUGCCAAUAGUUGGCAAGUCUUGGUAUUGCCAAUAUUUGGCAAGCCAAAUAUUGGCAGCAAACUAAUUAUGCUUAUAGUCGCCGCGGUAUCGUGCCGACCUUUAUAACUAGCAUGCUAGGGCAAUCCCCGUGGUCAGGCCUUCGGGCCGCAUGGGAGUACCCUUUUAUAAAAGCGUCGACACAGGUCAUGCAAUGCCAGGCCCUUUCACAUCCGUCCCGACCCAUGUGGCCAGGUUUGGCUACACAUCUCGAAUAGAGUUGUACGUCCGCAACAGAAGAAGCAAGACAUAUUCAAAUGGGACCCGUAUUUCAUGCGUAGCACGAUGCGCGCACGACAAGUGCACAUGCUUUUUCCCAGACCAUUUCGGGAUGGGGCGCUAAGUGUUUUUCCUUUUGCUUUUUUCUGCUUUUUUUUAAACAUUCAGGAUUUCUGAAAAAUGUUCAUUUUUUUAAAUGUUCACAAAUUGGGGAAAAUGUUUAUUUUUUUAAAACUCUUUAUGGAUUUGAAAAAAGUUCAUGAAUUCAAAUAUAGUUUAUGUAUUUCAAAAAAUGUUCAAGCUUUCCAAAAUUCUAGCUAACAGUUAUAAUUUAUUCUGAAUUUUAUAGCACGUGAAUAGGAAUCAUCUACUUCUUCUUUUUCAUCUCAAUUGAAAGAAACGAUAAAUUUUAUUGUGUUAGCAAUAUAUGUUUUGAGAUAGAAUCUAUCGAGGAGAAUAAUCGCAACUAUAUCAAAAAGCAGGAAUAUAUUUUUUUGAAAAAGUAUUGCGAAAAAGUAAAAUAAAAGGUUCACUGAUUCAAAAAAUAUUUGCGAAUUUCAAAUUUUUCCCAAAAUUUAAAAAAUGACCCUGAUUGAAGGAAUGUUGAAAAUUUUGAAAUUAUUUCCAAAUUUGAAUAAUUUUUCGUGAGUUUGAAACUUUUUGUCGGUUUUUGAAACAUUUUCGUGAUUUCAAAAGGUAUUCAUAGAAAUGUUCACAAUUUUUUCUGAAAAUAUAAGACUUAGAAAAUUUCAAGAAUUUUUUCAUGAGCUUGAAAAAUGUUCACAAAUUUAUAAAAUGUUCACAAAUUCAGAGAAUGAUCAGGAAUUUACAAAAUGUUCUGGAGUUUGAGAAGUAUUCAUUGAAUUUGGAAUUUCUUCUCGAUUUUCAUAAAAUUUUGCAAAAUUGAAAAUUGUUCUCAAUUUUAAUAAAAGUUUGCAAAAAUUAAGAUUAUUCUUGAUUUUCAUAAAAUGUUGCACAAUUAUAAAAUGCUGACUUAAAAAAGAAUGAAUUUGGGAAUUGUUUGUGAUUUAAAUAAUUUCAUGUAUUAAAAAAGGAAAAAAGAAUACUGACAGGAAAAAAAAUAAAGAAACGGACCAACGGGACAACCCAUUACUUCGGGCAGAUGUGCAUGUUUGGUUGCUAUCCCACGACCGACGCGCAGUAUAGGAUCCCCGAUGCAACCUCUAACAACACUAUUCUCGAGCACCUUCAGUUUUGCAAGGAUAUUGAUAAACUUUUAACAGUGUAAGUUGAUCCACGAAAGCAUUCACCAUUCGAGGCAACAUGACCAACACCACAACAUCUUUGCACGGGUAGAAGCAGGCGGCGGAUGUGCAGGUGCAACACCCCGUGCCCGAGCACACAUACACAUAGGUGGAGCCACAUCGCACCCAUGCGCCAAAGCGAAGGAGCAACGAUAGUCCUAAUCUCAGCCCGAGCUCAAAUGCUCUUGGCAUGAACAGUAAAAUCGAAAAUAAAUAAAUAAAUAAAAAUUCAAAAAAACCUUACUUUUUUUGUCAACCAUUAAAAAAAUGCAUCGAGUGCUUGUAAAUUUUCGUCAUCACAACACAUUUGUGGUGGUCGUGGCAAAAAGGUAAAACCAGCGCUCCAAAAUGUUUUGAAAGUAGCAUCUUCGGAGCAUCAAUCUUUUUUUUUUGGCACGGCUUCUAGGAAUGUGAUUUGAUGGUGAAAAAUUACAUGCACUAAUUUUUUUUAUCGGUGUUCUUGAUUUGAUGACAAAAAAACUCCUUUUUUUUGCUUUUUCAUAAUUUUUUUGAUUCUACUAUUCAUCCGGGCUCAUUGAAGGCCCCGCAGCAGGCAUAUUGCGUAGGCAGCACCCGGAGGAAAGAAAGGGAGAAAGAGAGAAAGCGACGAGGCGUCGGGAAAAGCGGGAGUCGGCGCACCCCAUCGCCGACCAAACCCUGCCAGCCUGCCGUCCUCGCCCCGCGACGCAACCACGUACUCCGCGCAAGCCAACACAAUAUCCCAAAGCCACCGCGCCGUCCGUCCCUCCCCCUCCCUUCCUUCCUUCCCUCCCUCCCUCCCUCGCCCCCACCCCACCCCACCCUUCUAUUAUAUCCUGUCCCCUUCUCGAAGCCACCGCCUCGGCCCGCCUCCUCUGUCUAUCCCUCCCCUUCCCCCCUCUCNNNNNNNNNNNNNNNNNNNNNNNNNNNNNNNNNNNNNNNNNNNNNNNNNNNNNNNNNNNNNNNNNNNNNNNNNNNNNNNNNNNNNNNNNNNNNNNNNNNNNNNNNNNNNNNNNNNNNNNNNNNNNNNNNNNNNNNNNNNNNNNNNNNNNNNNNNNNNNNNNNNNNNNNNNNNNNNNNNNNNNNNNNNNNNNNNNNNNNNNNNNNNNNNNNNNNNNNNNNNNNNNNNNNNNNNNNNNNNNNNNNNNNNNNNNNNNNNNNNNNNNNNNNNNNNNNNNNNNNNNNNNNNNNNNNNNNNNNNNNNNNNNNNNNNNNNNNNNNNNNNNNNNNNNNNNNNNNNNNNNNNNNNNNNNNNNNNNNNNNNNNNNNNNNNNNNNNNNNNNNNNNNNNNNNNNNNNNNNNNNNNNNNNNNNNNNNNNNNNNNNNNUCCCCCCUCCCCUCUCCCCCCUCUCCAUCUCUCUCGCGCGCUGCGAUUCUUCGAGGAACGCGAGAGGCCGCUGCGCAUGAGGGCCACCGGAGAGCACGCCGCCGCCAUCCCCGUCCGCGCGUCGCCGUCGCCGUCGCCGCCGCCCCACACGGAGGACGACGCCGAGCGGAGGCGCCGACGCCGGCCCGCGCGCCGCCCCAAGCAGGCCACCCCGCCCCCGCAGGUCGACGCGGCGGGUCCGAGCCCCUGCAGAUCGAUGCCGCCCAUGCGCGCCGACUCCCGGCUCGACGCCGUGGCGCUGGCCGAGGCGGCCGGGACGAGCCGGUCCUGCCCCCUGCUGCCCACGCCGUCCCGCGUGGAGGCGCGCGGUCCGGUGGUGGGGACGGGCGGGGGAGCUCCCAGGAGGCUCUUCUUCCCGCCCUACUGGCCCGAGCAGGUUGUGGAGGACGCCCUCAAGGUAGUGGAUCGUGACGCUUGCAGCCUUCUUCCCGUAGCUCUAACUUUGCGUGAACUAAUGUAUUGAUUUGUUUUUGAGAGAACUAAUGUGUUGAUUUGUUGUUGCCUCCUCUAUGCAGAGAGGGAAUGUCUUCUCGGGGAAGUUCCGCGUGAAUGCUCACAACCGAAACGAGGUAAGCAUGGAGUCCUUCCUAAUUUGCUUCUCACUGUACUGUCUCUGUGCUAUUGGUGGGUAAUGUUUGGAAUCUGUGAUGUUGCAGGCGUACUGCACGAUCGAUGGCAUCCCUGUGGAUGUUCUCAUUACUGGGCCGGCGCAAAACCGAGCGGUAAGUUCACGUCUACUUGCACACAAAGCAAAAUGAGUGUAUCUAUUAACAAGUGAGAACUGUGUACGGUAAUUUAUAGCAAUCCCAUAUUAGUGGAUAGCGCAAAGGCUUAAUGAUGCUUCCAGCCUGUCAUUCUGCCUUGAAUUGCAUGCUAACUGAUUAGCCACUUUGGGAAGUAUAAUGUGCUAGGAACUCAGGUAACACAGUGCUUGUCAUAUAUGGCAGGAGACGAGUCUAAUAACAAAUAUUAUGUACGAUGUUGUCAUUUUGCAUCUUCUGCUGUUAAGUUGUUUUGUGAUGCCACAGGAUUGGACAUUUCAAUUUGUGUUCAACUUUCGAUUGCUUGUGACUUUGCAAAUUAUAUAUGUAGAACCUAUGUCUAGCUUGCUUUCCCACAAAUUGGUCAAGCACAUUGGGAGAAUUGCCUGCUCUUGGCGUGAUUUUGAGUCGACUCUAAACACAUGGAUGAAGUGGUAUGCCCUUAGGCCACAUAGCAUGCUUGAAGCUCUUGCAUUUGAAAAUGAUUUAAGCAAAGCUGCAUGAUACAUUAUGUUUAUGCUGCGGUCAUUUUUCUGAAUGUUCUGCUGAAGAUGUUGUGCCCUUAUUCGUCUUUCCCGUGGGCAAUAUUAACCUGCAUUCUUUAUGCAAUCACCUUGUCUGUUUGUCUCAUAAUCCUGAGAAAACAUUCUCUCAGGACGUCUUUAUUUAGUAGUACAAACAAUUCAUGCAGCGAAUUAAUGUAGCUGAUAUGUUUCUAAGAAAGCAUUCUCUUUCCUUGAUGUGUUAUAUGAAUAGAUAUGGAAUUAUGAAUGUUCAGUUCUGGUCUUGUGUUUCUUACUAUAUAUACCCAGAGUACAUGGUUCUCUUACUUGCAAUGACAUGUUCUUUCUUGAUCCACUUUGCAGAUUGAAGGUGAUGUUGUUGCCAUCACAUUGGAUCCUGUUGUUUACUGGACUAGAAUGAAAGGGCAGAACAUUGCAUGCAACCCUGCCACUGGAGGAGUUUCUGUUGCUCGGGAAGUUAGUGAAACAAACGGGAACCAUAGUUUGAAGAAAGGACAGGCAGAUGCCAGCUGCAGGUUUGAAAAGUGCAGUAAUGGCCAACCUGUUCCGGACAGGAUGCAUAACCAUCACAAGAACAGUGGUUUUAGUCAAGCUGUUAUUUGUGAAAAUGGGCAUGCUACUGUCCCAGUGAAUUAUGAAAACCUGGAUGAAGCUAAGACCGAGUUUGCAAGAGCAUUACAGAGGAUCUGUUCUGUGAUAUACAAUCACCCAAGCAGACGCCCUACCGGGAAAGUAGUAUCUGUCAUAAAGAAGUCUCCUCGCCGUAGUACUGUUGUAGGUUUCGUUGCUCCUUUCUCAGAUUUCCCCGAUGGAGAGCAGAGAAAUCAGAUGACUGUGCAGGGUUCCAAGAGGAUGAACCAUAUAUCAUCCUCAAUUUUCACGGGCUUGGUUCAAAUCUUGCCUACUGAUCCCAAGUUCCCGCAGAUGAUUGUUAGUAUCAGCACUUUGUCAGAUGGUAUCAAACAGAGGCUGAAAGAAGGUGAUACAACUAUUUGGAAGGAAUUAGUUGCUGCACAGAUUGAUGAAUGGAAUGAGGAAAGUCCCUAUCCCUGGGCUUGUGUCGUACAGUUCUUGGGAAAGGGUGGACAGGUUGAAACACAUAUGGAUGCUAUACUGUUUGAGAAUGCAAUAUCUGAUGUUGAAUUUUCCCCUCAGUCCAUGGCAUGUCUCCCUGACACUUGCUGGAAGAUUCCGCAAGAAGAACUUGCAGCAAGAAAGGAUCUGAGAAAUGUUUUGACCUUAACAAUAGACCCUCCUACUGCUUCGGAUCUUGAUGAUGCAAUAUCUAUUGAGACACUUUCUGGAGGAAUUGUCCGUAUUGGGGUCCAUAUUGCGGAUGUUUCUUACUUCGUUCAUCCAGAGACUGCAUUAGAUGCUGAGGCUCAGAUUCGGUCUACCAGUGUUUACACCUUGCGACGUAAAGUAUCAAUGUUGCCUUCAAGACUUUCAGAAGAACUAGUUUCGCUUAAUCCUGGGGUAGACAGGCUUGCCUUUUCAGUUAUUUGGGACAUUGAUCCUCAUGGCAGCAUAGUUAAUCGCUGGAUUGGUCAUACCAUUAUCUUUUCAUGCUGCAAGCUGUCAUAUGAUCUCGUGCAAGAUCUGAUUUCUAGUGAUUCAAGCCAGUUUAGAUCUGCAGCUGCAUCUCUUCAAGUGCAUGGCAUGUUUAAACAUGAGGAUGUUAUAAAGUCUCUUCGAUGCCUCUAUGAGAUCUCGAAAAAUCUGAAGGAUAUUAGAUUCAAGGGUGGAGCUCUUUCUCUUGACACUUCAAAGCCCACGAUCCUAUUUGAUGAAGAUGGGGCUCCAUGCGAUAGCUAUCGCUAUAAAAGGAAUGAUGCAUGUUUCAUUGUCGAGGAGUUGAUGUUGUUGGCAAAUAUGUCAGCUGCAGAAGUUAUAUCCAAUGCAUUCCCUGAUUGUGCUUUACUUCGUAGGCAUCCUGAACCUAAUCCACGGAAGCUGAAAGAAUUUGAGGCAUUUUGUGCUAAAAAUGGGUUUGGAUUGGAUUCUUCAUCAUCCGGUCAACUUCAUCUUUCAAUUUGCAGAAUAAAGGAAGAGUUGCAAGAUGAUCCUGUUAUGUUUGAUAUUCUCAUGUUUUAUGCUUCAAAGCAAAUGCAGUCUGCAGAAUACUUUUGCACAGGGGACCUGAUAAGCAAGAAGGAUGAUUGGGCUCAUUAUGCGCUAUCUAUCCCUUUAUAUACACACUUCACUUCACCACUUCGAAGGUAUCCUGAUAUAAUCGUUCACAGGACACUGAAUGCAGUAAUUGAGGCUGAACAGAUGUAUCUGAAGCAAAGGAAAAUAUCCACUGGGCGGAAUGGAGUGAAAGCUACAUCUUGUGAAGUUGUGAGUAGAUGCUUUACAGGCCUUCAAUUUAGUAAGGAUGCUGCUGAAUCCAAAGAAGGGAGAGAAGCACUGUCUGCUGCAGCUAAGAAGUUUAAGGUCCCCAACUCUGAAGAUCUUGGGGAGGCUGCUGAACACUGUAAUGAAAGGAAGUGGGCCAGUCGCCGUGCAGAAGAAGCUGGACAAAAGCUCUACAUGUGGGCUCUACUAAAGAGGAAUGAGGUAAUAAUGGUGCAUCAUCAUCUUUUAUCUCCCGCAACAAAGUUUGUGUUGGUAAGCUUUAUUUUAAUUGAUUUGUGGUUUUACUUUUGCAGACCCUGGUCUCCAAUGCUAGAGUACUGGGGCUUGGACCAAGGUUCAUGUCAGUUUAUGUGCCCAAACUCUCGGUAUGACUUUGCCCCUAAUUUGCAUGUAAUAGAAGCUCUCCAGUCUGUGUGUUUUGAGUCACCUGACCAUCAUUUUCUGAUGUAGAUGGAACGGAGGAUAUACUAUGAUGAAGUUGAGGGAUUAUCUACUGAAUGGUUGGAAGCCACUGGAACCUUGGUGCUUGAUGCAUGCAGGAAUAAGCCCCAAAAGAGGGGAGGCCAGUUCAGAUGCAGUAGAGCAAUUGAGGAAGUCGCGGUGGUGGUGAACCCAUCCGAUCUAAUGUUACCUGAAGACAGAGACGAAUCAGGAGCAACUGAGACUACUGUGGACUCAGUUUUGCUAAGCGAUGAGGCAGUGAAAGUUGAAGUUGCCCCAGCGGUUCUGCCCAUGGUGAUAAGCUACCUGAGCGACAUCCCCGUGGUUCUUCAUGCAAUUGGUGGCGAGGAUUGUCCGGUGGACAUCGGAGUAAGACUAUACUUGUCGUCAUACUUCAAGUGACCAGAAACAGCUCAUCAUGACAGAGAACUAUCUGUGAAUUUAACUUCGUCCUAGUCGAACAAGACAAUCGUAAUAAAACGUGACAGAAAGGUAGCGGUAAAAAGUCGGUCAGGGUUCAGCAGGAAAACAUGUCAAGUUAGUGUUGUAGAUACUCCUAUCUUUACUGUUCUCCGUUUCUUAUUCACCUCCCUGUGGCAUCCAAAUGAUCGUGUGGUCAAGUGGCCUUCCUUUUCGCUCCAGAGGCCGCCUGACCAGGCGACUCAUAUUGGCCGUAGUGUUGUGUAUGUGCCAGUGAUGUAUUCACUAGUUCCUCCUCUAGUACUUUUUCUUUUAGUGUGAAUCCACCUGCUAUUUUUUUACUGGUGGGUUCAUGCAUUUGAUGUUUUGUUACUUCUGAAAGAAAGGAAUAUCGCUGCUGAGCCCUGUUCGAAGAAUAUGUCCAAGCUAUUCUGGCCCCAAAUAAAAUGUAUUGGCACCUCAUCUGUUGUACCUUUUGUGUUCAGCUUAUUCACUUGUUUCUUUUUGUGCAUCAUUAGUUACUGAUC